This 465-nucleotide ribosomal RNA is filed under the name uncultured bacterium. Its description in RNAcentral is "partial 16S ribosomal RNA". It matches the Rfam family "Bacterial small subunit ribosomal RNA", at positions 338 to 795 of the family's 1533-position model. The record is from RNAcentral.
CCUACGGGGUGCAGCAGUGGGGAAUAUUGCGCAAUGGGCGAAAGCCUGACGCAGCGACGCCGCGUGAGGGAUGAAGGUCUUCGGAUCGUAAACCUCUGUCAGCAGGGAAGAACGGUCACUGUGCUAAUCAGCAGUGAAUUGACGGUACCUGCAAAGGAAGCACCGGCUAACUCCGUGCCAGCAGCCGCGGUAAUACGGAGGGUGCGAGCGUUAAUCGGAAUUACUGGGCGUAAAGCGCUCGUAGGCGGUAUGUCAAGUCAAGGGUGAAAUCCCCGCGCUCAACGUGGGAACUGCCUUUGAAACUGGCAAACUGGAGUGUGUGAGAGGAUAGUGGAAUUCCAGGUGUAGGAGUGAAAGCCGUAGAUAUCUGGAGGAACAUCAGUGGCGAAGGCGACUAUCUGGCACAUAACUGACGCCGAGGAGCGAAAGCGUGGGUAGCAAACAGGAUUAGAUACCCUUGUAGUC